AUUGAACGCUGGCGGCAUGCUUUACACAUGCAAGUCGAACGGUAACAGGCCUUCGGGUGCUGACGAGUGGCGAACGGGUGAGUAAUGCAUCGGAACGUGCCCAGAGGUGGGGGAUAACGCAGCGAAAGCUGUGCUAAUACCGCAUGUGAUCUGAGGAUGAAAGCGGGGGACCAAGCAGCAAUGUUUGGCCUCGCGCCUCUGGAGCGGCCGAUGUCAGAUUAGGUAGUUGGUGGGGUAAAGGCCUACCAAGCCGACGAUCUGUAGCUGGUCUGAGAGGACGACCAGCCACACUGGGACUGAGACACGGCCCAGACUCCUACGGGAGGCAGCAGUGGGGAAUUUUGGACAAUGGGCGCAAGCCUGAUCCAGCAAUGCCGCGUGCGGAAAGAAGGCCUUCGGGUUGUAAACCGCUUUUGUACGGAACGAAAAGGCUCUGGCUAAUACCUGGGGCUGAUGACGGUACCGUAAGAAUAAGCACCGGCUAACUACGUG
RNAcentral lists this ribosomal RNA (492 nucleotides) under uncultured bacterium. Its description in RNAcentral is "partial 16S ribosomal RNA". It matches the Rfam family "Bacterial small subunit ribosomal RNA", at positions 30 to 507 of the family's 1533-position model. The record is from RNAcentral.